This 329-nucleotide unclassified non-coding RNA is filed under the name soil metagenome. RNAcentral's name for it is "partial contains 5.8S ribosomal RNA, internal transcribed spacer 2, and large subunit ribosomal RNA". The stretch from base 1 to 120 matches the Rfam family "5.8S ribosomal RNA", at positions 35 to 154 of the family's 154-position model. The record is from RNAcentral.
GAUGAAGAACGUAGCGAAAUGCGAUAAGUAAUGUGAAUUGCAGAAUUCAGAGAAUCAUCGAAUCUUUGAACGCACAUUGCGCCCCUUGGUAUUCCGAGGGGCAUGCCUGUUCGAGCGUCAUUAUAACCCCUCAAGCUCAGCUUGGUGUUGGGGCCUGCUGCACUGGCAGCCCUUAAAAUCAGUGGCGGCGCCAUCUGGCUCUAAGCGUAGUAAUUCUUCUCGCUAUGGAGUCCUGGUGGAUGCUUGCCAUCAACCCCCAAUUUUUCUAUGGUUGACCUCGGAUCAGGUAGGGAUACCCGCUGAACUUAAGCAUAUCAAUAAGCGGAGGA